This 494-nucleotide ribosomal RNA is filed under the name uncultured bacterium. RNAcentral describes it as "partial 16S ribosomal RNA". It matches the Rfam family "Bacterial small subunit ribosomal RNA", at positions 28 to 507 of the family's 1533-position model. The record is from RNAcentral.
GACGAACGCUGGCGGCGCGCUUAACACAUGCAAGUCGAACGGAAAGGCCUGCUUUCCCUUGUGGAUUGCGGGUACUCUAGUGGCUAACGGUUGAGUAACACGUGAGUGAUCUGCCCCCAACUUGGGUAUAAGCCUGGGAAACUGGCUCUAAUUCUCGAGAGGUCUGCAGGGUGGUGUCUGUUGUUGAAAACGAUUUUCUAGUGGUUGGGGAUGAGCUCGCGGCCUAUCAGCUUGUUGGUGGUGUAAUGGCCUACUAAGGUGGUGACGGGUAGCCGGCCUGGGAGCGUCGACCUCAAAAUUGGGACGGAGACACGGCCUAGACUCGUACGGGAGGCAUCAGUGGGGAAGAUUGCGCCAUGCACAGAUACCGACUGCAGCGACCCGGCGUGUGCGAUGACGGAUUUGGGGUUGUAACCUCAUUGCGACCGCGAGAAAGCGACCUGGUUGGAAGGGUGGUGACGGUAGUGGUAGAAGAAGCACCGGCUAACUACGUG